UGAGAUACUACUCUUGUCGGCU
Molecule: small nuclear RNA, 22 nt
Filed under: Arabidopsis thaliana (thale cress)
Lineage: Eukaryota; Viridiplantae; Streptophyta; Magnoliopsida; Brassicales; Brassicaceae
Description: snRNA_14116
Source: RNAcentral